Pyrus x bretschneideri (Chinese white pear) is the source of this 1656-nucleotide long non-coding RNA. RefSeq lists it as uncharacterized. Lineage: Eukaryota; Viridiplantae; Streptophyta; Magnoliopsida; Rosales; Rosaceae. The transcript is spliced from 4 exons. The record is from RefSeq and is a predicted model, not a curated record.
CAAUCCAUCUCCCUCGGAAAAUCACAGCCGAGCGAAAAGCAGCUUCCUCUUUUUGGUGGUCGAAGAAAGCUACUUCCUUUAAAAGCCAGAAAAGUCAAAGCUACUGCCUUUUCUCUCUCUCUUCUCAUCACCAUCACUUUUUGUGUCUAAUUGGAGUAAGUGUUUCACGAUGCACCUACUUUGAAUCUUCAAUUUUUUUCCCUGCGUGUUUAUUUACAUUCUCAGCUUUUACACUAUAACUUGUUAUUUUGUUUUCUCUCUUAUUUUCUUUUGGUUUUGAAUAAUAAAGUCAUCAUCUGCUUCCCCAUUAACAUUUGGCACGAAUAAACAAAUUCGAGUUUUAGAUUAGAUUUUGGUGAACGUUUUUGAAAGUUGAUGGUUAGAUUGCUCAAUGGGUGUUGGGAAACUGGGUUUUCUGUCAGUUUUUGCGUAAUCGAAUUGGGUCUUAUUUGUCUAAUUAGUUACAGAAGAGAAGGGGAUGAGGGUGUGGAAUGUCAGGGAGAGGAAGGGAGAGGGAGGUCUGCCAAAAAUUGGGAUUGAUGGUGAGGGGAUUGUAGGGCAGACAGGAGGCCAUGCCGCCUCUGAGAUAGAGAUAGAGAGAGACAGGGAGAGAGACGGAGACAGAGCGAGAGAGGGAGGGAUUUUAGGGAUUUGCAAACUCUUCCCCUUGCUGCCUGUUCCGAUCUGAUUUGAAGAUUUCUCAAGCGGCUAUAAUUUCAUGGUCUAUGGGUGCAGCAAGCAAAAUCCCUUCAUUCAUAUGAGCUUCUUGGGCCUCUUUCUGAAAAGUUAGGUAUUUCUGAAAAGAAUAACAAUUCAUUUCAGUUUAAAUAUUUCUGAAAAGUUAGAGAUGGUUUUAUUAGUUUCAAAUUAUUUACUGCUGAAAAGUUUAACAUCUGCUGAGCACGUUGAGCGUUUGUAAAUUAGCCAAAUUAUAGGCAUGUGCAGGUGUUGUGUUUAAAACUUCGUUUUUUCAUGAGUUUUUAUUAAGCUUUGUGACUUUUUUUUUUUUUUUUUGUAUCGGUUGAUUUCUAAAUUACUAUAAUUAAGAACAAGAUUAGUGAGUUUUUAAUUUGCUGCUUAGCUUAACACGAUCCUUGAAUAAAAUUUGGGUCUUAGUUGAAGUUGGGUCAUAUUUUUAAGAAUGGUAAGAACUAAGGAAAUUUUUUCUGGGUAUUUCCUGUUCAACUUUUGUUGGCAAAUUGGUCUUUGCCAAUCAAUGUUAUUUUUGGGUGCUAACUGUUUUGGUCUUUAUAAAUUUUGGUAGCGGUGAUUUCUUCUGUACUUAUGAUGUGACAACGUUGUGUAAUGAUUGUAGGUUUUUGAAAAUUUUGAGCUUCACAAACUGUGGAAAAGGAAACAAGUUUUGCUGAAAUCAAUUUAAAGGCACAAUAACAAAGGACUUCAUUUACCAUUUACAAGUCAACCCCGCAAUACCAAAGUACAAGAGAAACAAAGAUUAGAGGUAACCCUUAUCCUUGAGAAGUGGAAAUGCAGCAUAAACAGCGAAGGAAGCGGCACCCCCGGUCCUUAACACGAUCCUCGGCAGCUUAAAGCUCUCUGCAACCGAUCGAGUGAAGUCGAAGAUAGGAUCCGAGAUCAAGCAUGCAAUGGGGUCCUCCGAAUUAACAUCGUCGGAUAACAACCCGGCCAAGCAUU